This 708-nucleotide ribosomal RNA is filed under the name Alkalihalophilus pseudofirmus. Its description in RNAcentral is "bacterial SSU rRNA". It matches the Rfam family "Bacterial small subunit ribosomal RNA", at positions 60 to 749 of the family's 1533-position model. The record is from RNAcentral. Lineage: Bacteria; Bacillati; Bacillota; Bacilli; Caryophanales; Bacillaceae.
AGUCGAGCGGACUGAUGGGAGCUUGCUCCCUGAUGUUAGCGGCGGACGGGUGAGUAACACGUGGGCAACCUGCCUGUAAGACUGGGAUAACUCCGGGAAACCGGGGCUAAUACCGGAUAACCCGUUCCACCUCAUGGUGGAGCGGUAAAAGAUGGCCUCUGGCUAUCACUUACAGAUGGGCCCGCGGCGCAUUAGCUAGUUGGUAAGGUAACGGCUUACCAAGGCGACGAUGCGUAGCCGACCUGAGAGGGUGAUCGGCCACACUGGGACUGAGACACGGCCCAGACUCCUACGGGAGGCAGCAGUAGGGAAUCUUCCGCAAUGGACGAAAGUCUGACGGAGCAACGCCGCGUGAGUGAUGAAGGUUUUCGGAUCGUAAAGCUCUGUUGUUAGGGAAGAACAAGUGCCGUUUGAAUAAGGCGGCACCUUGACGGUACCUAACCAGAAAGCCACGGCUAACUACGUGCCAGCAGCCGCGGUAAUACGUAGGUGGCAAGCGUUGUCCGGAAUUAUUGGGCGUAAAGCGCGCGCAGGCGGUCUCUUAAGUCUGAUGUGAAAGCCCACGGCUCAACCGUGGAGGGUCAUUGGAAACUGGGAGACUUGAGUACAGAAGAGGAGAGUGGAAUUCCACGUGUAGCGGUGAAAUGCGUAGAUAUGUGGAGGAACACCAGUGGCGAAGGCGACUCUCUGGUCUGUAACUGACGCUGA